GGGUCCAUCUAUUAUUCCAGCACUAAUCUAUCGGAUCCCGUCAGAACUCCGAAAUUAAGCAUGCUUAGGAAAGAGUAGUACUAGGAUGUGUUACCCUUGAGAAGUUCUCGUGUUGCAUCCC
Molecule: ribosomal RNA, 121 nt
Filed under: Solanum tuberosum (potato)
Lineage: Eukaryota; Viridiplantae; Streptophyta; Magnoliopsida; Solanales; Solanaceae
Source: RNAcentral